Molecule: ribosomal RNA, 496 nt
Filed under: uncultured bacterium
Lineage: Bacteria
Description: partial 16S ribosomal RNA
Rfam family: Bacterial small subunit ribosomal RNA
Source: RNAcentral
GACGAACGCUGGCGGCAUGCCUAAUACAUGCAAGUCGAGCGAACAGAUGAAGUGCUUGCACUUCUGACGUUAGCGGCGAACGGGUGAGUAACACGUAAGGAAUCUACCUAUAAGCGGGGGAUAGCAUUCGGAAACGGGUGCUAAUACCGCAUAAUAUCUUCUUCCGCAUGGAAGAAGAUUGAAAGACGGCUCUGCUGUCACUUAUAGAUGACCUUGCGGUGCAUUAGUUAGUUGGUGGGGUAACGGCCUACCAAGACGAUGAUGCAUAGCCGACCUGAGAGGGUGAUCGGCCACAUUGGGACUGAGACACGGCCCAAACUCCUACGGGAGGCAGCAGUAGGGAAUCUUCCGCAAUGGGCGAAAGCCUGACGGAGCAAUGCCGCGUGAGUGAAGAAGGCCUUCGGGUCGUAAAACUCUGUUAUAAGAGAAGAACAAAUUGUAGAGUAGCUGCUACAGUCUUGACGGUAUCUUAUCAGAAAGCCACGGCUAACUACGU